UAGGGAAUCUUCGGCAAUGGGGGCAACCCUGACCGAGCAACGCCGCGUGAGUGAAGAAGGUUUUCGGAUCGUAAAGCUCUGUUGUAAGAGAAGAACGUGUGUGAGAGUGGAAAGUUCACACAGUGACGGUAACUUACCAGAAAGGGACGGCUAACUACGUGCCAGCAGCCGCGGUAAUACGUAGGUCCCGGGCGUUGUCCGGAUUUAUUGGGCGUAAAGCGAGCGCAGGCGGUUUAAUAAGUCUGAAGUUAAAGGCAGUGGCUUAACCAUUGUUCGCUUUGGAAACUGUUAAACUUGAGUGCAGAAGGGGAGAGUGGAAUUCCAUGUGUAGCGGUGAAAUGCGUAGAUAUAUGGAGGAACACCGGUGGCGAAAGCGGCUCUCUGGUCUGUAACUGACGCUGAGGCUCGAAAGCGUGGGGAGCAAACAGG
RNAcentral lists this ribosomal RNA (429 nucleotides) under bacterium. RNAcentral describes it as "partial 16S ribosomal RNA". It matches the Rfam family "Bacterial small subunit ribosomal RNA", at positions 355 to 776 of the family's 1533-position model. The record is from RNAcentral.